GCAGCAGCCGCGGUAAUACGUAGGUGGCGAGCGUUGUCCGGAAUUAUUGGGCGUAAAGGGAGCGCAGGCGGACAUAUAAGUCCAUCUUAAAAGUUCGAGGCUUAACCCCGUGAUGGGAUGGAAACUGCUGAUCUAGAGUAUCGGAGAGGAAAGUGGAAUUCCUAGUGUAGCGGUGAAAUGCGUAGAUAUUGGGAGGAACACCAGUGGCGAAGGCGGCUUUCUGGACUGCAACUGACGCUGAGGCUCGAAAGCUAGGGGAGCAAAUGGGAUUAGAUACCCGAGUAGUCCUGUCUCUUAUACAC
Molecule: ribosomal RNA, 302 nt
Filed under: uncultured bacterium
Lineage: Bacteria
Description: partial 16S ribosomal RNA
Rfam family: Bacterial small subunit ribosomal RNA
Source: RNAcentral